This 31-nucleotide non-coding RNA is filed under the name Mus musculus (house mouse). The record is from RNAcentral. Lineage: Eukaryota; Metazoa; Chordata; Mammalia; Rodentia; Muridae.
UAGACUUUCUGUCUCUCACCUUUUGAGACAC